UUGCGUAGGUGGCAUAGUAAGCGAAUAGUGAAAUGACGGGGCUCAACCCCGUGUCCAUUAUUUGAACUACUAAGCUUGAGGACGAGAGAGGUAGAUGGAAUUUCUAGUGUAGGAGUGAAAUCCGUAGAUAUUAGAAGGAACACCGAUGGCGUAAGCAGUCUACUGGCUUGUUCCUGACACUAAGGCACGAAAGCGUGGGGAGCGAACG
Molecule: ribosomal RNA, 208 nt
Filed under: uncultured bacterium
Lineage: Bacteria
Description: partial 16S ribosomal RNA
Rfam family: Bacterial small subunit ribosomal RNA
Source: RNAcentral